Molecule: transfer RNA, 74 nt
Filed under: Candidatus Roizmanbacteria bacterium RIFCSPHIGHO2_02_FULL_40_53
Lineage: Bacteria; Candidatus Roizmaniibacteriota
Also listed under: 6 other names
Description: tRNA-Arg
Rfam family: tRNA
About the family: Transfer RNA (tRNA) molecules are approximately 80 nucleotides in length. Their secondary structure includes four short double-helical elements and three loops (D, anti-codon, and T loops).
Source: RNAcentral
GUUCUUGUAGCUUAACCGGAUAGAGCAUCGGGUUCCGAACCCGAAGGUUGGAGGUUCGAAUCCUCUCAAGGACG